Molecule: ribosomal RNA, 490 nt
Filed under: uncultured bacterium
Lineage: Bacteria
Description: partial 16S ribosomal RNA
Rfam family: Bacterial small subunit ribosomal RNA
Source: RNAcentral
GAUGAACGCUGGCGAUAGGCUUAACACAUGCAAGUCGAGGGGCAGCAUGGUAUUAGCUUGCUCAGACUGAUGGCGACCGGCGCACGGGUGCGUAACGCGUAUGCAACUUGCCUCACAGAGGGGGAUAACCCGUGGAAAGACGGACUAAUACCGCGUACACUCUAUAUUGGGUAUCCAAGGAAGAGGAAAUGAAAUUCGUUGUGAGAUAGGCAUGCUUCCCAUUAUCUAGUUGGUGAGGUAACGGCCGACCAAGGCGACGAAGGGUAGGGGAACUGAGAGGUUGCACCCCGAGACUGAGACUGAGACACGAACCAGACGCCUACCGGUGGCAGCAGUGAGGAAUAUUGGUCAAUGGGCGAGAGCCUGAACCAGCCAAGUCGCGUGAAGGAGGACUGUCUUAUGGAUUGUAAACUUCUUUUAAACGCGAAUAACAAGAGUCACGGGUGACUCCCUGCAUGUACCGUAUGAAUAAGCAACGGCUAACUCCGUG